Molecule: ribosomal RNA, 514 nt
Filed under: uncultured bacterium
Lineage: Bacteria
Description: bacterial SSU rRNA
Rfam family: Bacterial small subunit ribosomal RNA
Source: RNAcentral
AACGCUGGCGGCGUGCCUAAUACAUGCAAGUCGAACGGUCUUUCUAUGGAAGCUUGCUUCCACUGAGAAGAUAGUGGCGAACGGGUGAGGUAACACGUGGGUAACCUGCCCAUAAGAGGGGGAUAACAUCCGGAAACGGGUGCUAAUACCGCAUAGUUUUCUUGAUCGCAUGAUCGGGAAAGGAAAGACGGCCUUUGUGCUGUCGCUUAUGGAUGGACCCGCGGCGUAUUAGUUAGUUGGUGAGGUAACGGCUCACCAAGACGAUGAUACGUAGCCGACCUGAGAGGGUGAUCGGCCACAUUGGGACUGAGACACGGCCCAAACUCCUACGGGAGGCAGCAGUAGGGAAUCUUCCGCAAUGGACGAAAGUCUGACGGAGCAACGCCGCGUGAGUGAAGAAAGGUUUUCGGAUCGUAAAACUCUGUUGUCAGAGAAGAACAAGUUGGAGAGUAACUGCUCCAGCCUUGACGGUAUCUGACCAGAAAGCCACGGCUAACUACGUGCCAGCAGCCGC